CAGAGGCCUCGAGCGUUAGGCGGAAUCACUGGGCUUAAAGCGUGUGUAGGCGGAUCGUUAAGUGUCUUGUGAAAUCCCCCGGCUCAACCGGGGAACUGCUGGGCAUACUGGCGAUCUUGGGCCAUUCAGGGGCGACUGGAACAAGCGGUGGAGCGGUGAAAUGCGUAGAUAUCGCUUGGAACGCCGAAGGUGAAAACAGGUCGCUGGGGAUGUGCCGACGCUGAGACACGAAAGCCAGGGGAGCAAACGGGAUUAGAUACCCCGGUAGUCCUGGCCCUAAACGAUGUCCACUAGAUUAUGGCGCCUUUGACGGCGUCAUGGUCGAAGCAAAAGUGUUAAGUGGACCGCCUGGGAAGUACGGUCGCAAGGCUA
This 372-nucleotide ribosomal RNA is filed under the name uncultured organism. Its description in RNAcentral is "bacterial SSU rRNA". It matches the Rfam family "Bacterial small subunit ribosomal RNA", at positions 526 to 896 of the family's 1533-position model. The record is from RNAcentral.